GCCCCCGUAGCUCAAUGGACAGAGCAAUGCCCUUCUAAGGCAAAGAUGCAAGUUCGAUUCCUGCCGGGGGCA
Molecule: transfer RNA, 72 nt
Filed under: Patescibacteria group bacterium
Lineage: Bacteria
Also listed under: 1 other name
Description: tRNA-Arg
Rfam family: tRNA
About the family: Transfer RNA (tRNA) molecules are approximately 80 nucleotides in length. Their secondary structure includes four short double-helical elements and three loops (D, anti-codon, and T loops). Further hydrogen bonds mediate the characteristic L-shaped molecular structure. tRNAs have two regions of fundamental functional importance: the anti-codon, which is responsible for specific mRNA codon recognition, and the 3' end, to which the tRNAs corresponding amino acid is attached (by aminoacyl-tRNA synthetases). tRNAs cope with the degeneracy of the genetic code in two manners: having more than one tRNA (with a specific anti-codon) for a particular amino acid; and 'wobble' base-pairing, i.e. permitting non-standard base-pairing at the 3rd anti-codon position.
Source: RNAcentral